UACAGAGGGGGCAAGCGUUGUUCGGAAUUACUGGGCGUAAAGCGUGCGCAGGCGGUUGUGCAAGACAGAUGUGAAAUCCCCGGGCUUAACCUGGGAAUUGCAUUUGGAACUGCAAGGCUUGAGUGCGGCAGAGGAGACUGGAAUUCCUGGUGUAGCAGUGAAAUGCGUAGAUAUCAGGAGGAAUACCGAUGGCGAAGGCAGGUCUCUGGGCUGACACUGACGCUCAUGCACGAAAGCGUGGGGAGCAAACAGG
Molecule: ribosomal RNA, 253 nt
Filed under: uncultured bacterium
Lineage: Bacteria
Description: partial 16S ribosomal RNA
Rfam family: Bacterial small subunit ribosomal RNA
Source: RNAcentral